This is a long non-coding RNA of Oncorhynchus keta (chum salmon), 1688 nucleotides long. RefSeq lists it as uncharacterized. The transcript has 3 exons. The record is from RefSeq and is a predicted model, not a curated record. NCBI's taxonomy places the organism in Eukaryota, Metazoa, Chordata, Actinopteri, Salmoniformes, Salmonidae.
CCCCAACGUUUAUUAUUUUAUAGAUCUGUAUGAAAAAUAAACAUUUAACCUUUAUAGACAUUGUCCUAACAACUCAUGUGACUUAUUCUCUUAGGAGGCAAAUCCUAACUUCCACUUAGGUAACGUUUUCAUCUUGGCAUGACUGAGUGAACAUUUUGACUUCCGUGGAACGUUAGGUUUCUCCCCUAAAUAACUACCACCUUGAUACCUCUCGUUGGCCUUUCUCAAAGUCCUGGGUGGGGUCGUGUUCACUAUUAGGGCACAGCGUAGCAAAAACGUUUCGCAACGGAAAACAAAAAAAACAUUUGUUCUUAUUGGACAUGUUCAGGUAGGUACUUGUACCGUUUGACUCAGUUUCAAGACAAUGUAUCCCUAUUGAACAGGACCCAGUGAACUCAGUGCACGGUGGUUAUACACUACUACACUCAUCUUCUACAGCGACACAUAACUCAGUGCACGGUGGUUAUACACUACUACAUAGCACAACAAGCUGGUUAUACUCCUAGUAUUACCUACACUGUCUAUGCAUCCCCAAUGGCACCCUAAUACCUAUGGGCGCUGGUCCAAUGUAGUGCACUGUAAUAGGGAACAGGGUAUCAUUGGGCCCUGGUCCAAAGUAGUGCACUAUACAGGGAAUAGGGUAUCAUUGGGCCCUGGUCCAAAGUAGUGCACUAUAUAGGGAACAGGGUAUCAUUGGGCCCUGGUCCAAAGUAGUGCGCUAUACAGGGAAUAGGGUAUCAUUGGGCCCUGGUCCAAAGUAGUGCACUAUACAGGGAAUAGGGUAUCAUUGGGCCCUGGUCCAAAGUAGUGCACUAUACAGGGAAUAGGGUAUCAUUGGGCCCUGGUCCAAAGUAGUGCACUAUACAAGGAAUAGGGUGUCAUUAUUAUUAACACUUUGUUCACUAUGCAUCGUUAAGCCUAUAAACAACGCUAUGACACCAGUACGACGCCUGUCUUAAAUGCUUAUGACAGGUCAUGACACUUCAUAACAAGUUAUAACCUUCACGCCCAGAGAGGAACUGGAUCAUAGAAUCAGAAGGUAUGAUCUUCACAUCCAGAGAGGAACUGGAUCAUAGAAUCAGAAGGUAUGAUCUUCACGCCCAGAGAGGGACUGGAUCAUAGAAUCAGAAGGUAUGAUCUUCACGCCCAGAGAGGAACUGGAUCAUAGAAUCAGAAGGUAUAAUCUUCACGCCCAGAGAGGGACUGGAUCAUAGAAUCAGAAGGUAUGAUCUUCACGCCCAGAGAGGGACUGGAUCAUAGAAUCAGAAGGUAUGAUCUUCACGCCCAGAGAGGAACUGGAUCAUAGAAUCAGAAGGUAUAAUCUUCACGCCCAGAGAGGGACUGGAUCAUAGAAUCAGAAGGUAUAAUCUUCACGCCCAGAGAGGGACUGGAUCAUAGAAUCAGAAGGUAUAAUCUUCACGCCCAGAGAGGAACUGGAUCAUAGAAUCAGAAGGUAUGAUCUUCACGCCCAGAGAGGAACUGGAUCAUAGAAUCAGAAGGUAUGAUCUUCACGCCCAGAGAGGAACUGGAUCAUAGAAUCAGAAGGUAUGAUCUUCACGCCCAGAGAGGAACUGGAUCAUAGAAUCAGAAGGUAUGAUCUUCACGCCCAGAGAGGAACUGGAUCAUAGAAUCAGAAGGUAUGAUCUUCACGCCCAGAGAGGAACUGGAUCAUAGAAUCAGAAGGUAUG